GACGAACGCUGGCGGCGUGCCUAAUACAUGCAAGUUGAGCGCUGAAGGUUGGUACUUGUACCAACUGGAUGAGCAGCGAACGGGUGAGUAACGCGUGGGGAAUCUGCCUUUGAGCGGGGGACAACAUUUGGAAACGAAUGCUAAUACCGCAUAAAAACUUUAAACACAAGUUUUAAGUUUGAAAGGUGCAAUUGCAUCACUCAAAGAUGAUCCCGCGUUGUAUUAGCUAGUUGGUGAGGUAAAGGCUCACCAAGGCGAUGAUACAUAGCCGACCUGAGAGGGUGAUCGGCCACAUUGGGACUGAGACACGGCCCAAACUCCUACGGGAGGCAGCAGUAGGGAAUCUUCGGCAAUGGACGAAAGUCUGACCGAGCAACGCCGCGUGAGUGAAGAAGGUUUUCGGAUCGUAAAACUCUGUUGGUAGAGAAGAACGUUGGUGAGAGUGGAAAGCUCAUCAAAGUGACGGAACUACCCCAGAA
RNAcentral lists this ribosomal RNA (479 nucleotides) under Lactococcus lactis. Its description in RNAcentral is "bacterial SSU rRNA". It matches the Rfam family "Bacterial small subunit ribosomal RNA", at positions 28 to 489 of the family's 1533-position model. The record is from RNAcentral. Lineage: Bacteria; Bacillati; Bacillota; Bacilli; Lactobacillales; Streptococcaceae.